AGUGAACGCUGGCGGUAGGCCUAACACAUGCAAGUCGAACGGCAGCACAGUAAGAGCUUGCUCUUACGGGUGGCGAGUGGCGGACGGGUGAGGAAUACAUCGGAAUCUACUUUUUCGUGGGGAUAACGUAGGGAAACUUACGAUAAUACCGCAUACGACCUACGGGUGAAAGCCGGGGAUCUUCGGACCUUGCGCGAUUGAAUGAGCCGAUGUCGGAUUAGCUAGUUGGCGGGGUAAAGGUCCACCAAGACGACGAUCCGUAGCUGGUCUGAGAGGAUGAUCAGCCACACUGGAACUUAAACACGGUCCAGGCUCCUACGGGAAGCAGCAGUGGGGAAUAUUGGACCAUGGGCGCAAGCCUGAUCCAGCCAUAGCGCGUGGGUUAAGAAGGCCUUCGGGUUGUAAAGCCCUUUUGUUGGGAAAGAAAAGCAGCAGGUUAAUACCCCGCUGUUCUGACGGUACCCAAAGAAUAAGCACCGGCUAACUUCGUG
This 491-nucleotide ribosomal RNA is filed under the name uncultured bacterium. Its description in RNAcentral is "partial 16S ribosomal RNA". It matches the Rfam family "Bacterial small subunit ribosomal RNA", at positions 29 to 507 of the family's 1533-position model. The record is from RNAcentral.